This 805-nucleotide ribosomal RNA is filed under the name uncultured bacterium. RNAcentral describes it as "bacterial SSU rRNA". It matches the Rfam family "Bacterial small subunit ribosomal RNA", at positions 8 to 796 of the family's 1533-position model. The record is from RNAcentral.
AGAGUUUGAUCCUGGCUCAGAACGAACGCUGGCGGCGUGCCUAACACAUGCAAGUCGAACGGGAUUUGAGAGCUUGCUCUUAAAUUUAGUGGCGCACGGGUGAGUAACGCGUAGAUAAUCUGCCUGAUGAUCUGGGAUAACACUUCGAAAGAGGUGCUAAUACCGGAUAAGCCCACGGAGUCUUUGGAUUCUGCGGGAAAAGGGGGGGACCUUCGGGCCUUCUGUCAUCAGAUGAGUCUGCGUACCAUUAGCUAGUUGGUAGGGUAAUGGCCUACCAAGGCUACGAUGGUUAGCUGGUCUGAGAGGAUGAUCAGCCACACUGGUACUGAGACACGGACCAGACUCCUACGGGAGGCAGCAGUAAGGAAUAUUGGUCAAUGGGCGCAAGCCUGAACCAGCCAUGCCGCGUGCAGGAAGACGGCCCUAUGGGUUGUAAACUGCUUUUGUCAGGGAAUAAAUGUAGAUACGUGUAUUUACUUGAAGGUACCUGAAGAAUAAGCAUCGGCUAACUCCGUGCCAGCAGCCGCGGUAAUACGGAGGAUGCAAGCGUUAUCCGGAUUCAUUGGGUUUAAAGGGUGCGCAGGCGGAUUGGUAAGUCAGGGGUGAAAUCCCACAGCUCAACUGUGGAACUGCCUUUGAUACUGUCAGUCUAGAGUAUAGUUGAAGUUGGCGGAAUGUGUCAUGUAGCGGUGAAAUGCUUAGAUAUGACACAGAACACCGAUCGCGAAGGCAGCUAGCUAAGCUAUAACUGACGCUCAUGCACGAAGGCGUGGGGAUCAAACAGGAUUAGAUACCCUGGUAGUCC